RNAcentral lists this small RNA (165 nucleotides) under uncultured Collinsella sp. RNAcentral describes it as "Collinsella-1 RNA". It matches the Rfam family "Collinsella-1 RNA", at positions 33 to 196 of the family's 196-position model. The record is from RNAcentral. Lineage: Bacteria; Bacillati; Actinomycetota; Coriobacteriia; Coriobacteriales; Coriobacteriaceae.
UUCGCUUGUGGUGGUGGAUGUAAAUAAACGGUGGAGCGGCUGCAAAAGAGCCGUCUCGCUGGGUAAAAUCAGGAUAUGCCGCUGAACCCGCUCCUCAGCUAGUCACACUUCGGAAGCGCGGGCAACGCAGGUGCUAUCGUCUAAGGGGCCGGCUGAAACCGGCCC